Lagopus muta (rock ptarmigan) is the source of this 727-nucleotide long non-coding RNA. RefSeq lists it as uncharacterized. The record is from RefSeq and is a predicted model, not a curated record. NCBI's taxonomy places the organism in Eukaryota, Metazoa, Chordata, Aves, Galliformes, Phasianidae. The transcript has 3 exons.
UUGCACUAGAAUGAAUACAGCGCUUUAUGUAUGAUUACUGUUAUUAAAGUUGAAAUUGACUUAAAAUACUUACCACCUGCCUUGGUUACUACAGUUACCUGGAAUUAUUCAACUUCUGAGGUCGUGUGUGUCAAUGUACAUCAAGAAGAAGUGCUAAGAUGAUGCUUUUGGAAGAUCUAUCAGUAGCAGUCUUGCUCACAUAAGUGCUAAAAACUUAAUUUCCGAGAACCAAUAAGACCGUGAACAAAUGAUGGCUAUGACAACCAAGCACAGAGACACCUAGACAGAAGAGUGAACAGAUGUCACCACAAACAGUCGUCAUAGAAAGCACUGACUGGCUUUUGUUAAGUGCUGGGUAUGUCAUAGACAAGAUGCUCCUACACACUCACUCAAGUACGCCUGAGCUGAUCCAGUUAACUUCAAGGAACAAGGAUAAACUAUAGGGGACUCCAAGUAAGGUGCUGACUUGAGCUGAACAAAGUUUGAUAACUUCAGAAGAAAAUAAAUUAUUGAAAUCAGCCAGACAAGAAGGAAAAAGCCAGACAAGAAGCCAGACAAGAUUUGAGGUAAAGGAGACCUUUUCCAAACCAACAGAUACAAACUUAUACCCUCACUAUAGGAAGCUUCUGAAAAGGUUUGAAAACCUAACUGCCCUUUAACUUUUUUUUUUUUUUAAUUUAUUAAUUAAUCUUUAAUUAAAAGAAAGAAACUGCAAAAGAAAAAAAAA